UAGCCAAGACAAUGUGGGGAAAAGCCUU
This 28-nucleotide non-coding RNA is filed under the name Homo sapiens (human). Lineage: Eukaryota; Metazoa; Chordata; Mammalia; Primates; Hominidae. The record is from RNAcentral.